Molecule: transfer RNA, 71 nt
Filed under: Dipodomys ordii (Ord's kangaroo rat)
Lineage: Eukaryota; Metazoa; Chordata; Mammalia; Rodentia; Heteromyidae
Rfam family: tRNA
About the family: Transfer RNA (tRNA) molecules are approximately 80 nucleotides in length. Their secondary structure includes four short double-helical elements and three loops (D, anti-codon, and T loops). Further hydrogen bonds mediate the characteristic L-shaped molecular structure. tRNAs have two regions of fundamental functional importance: the anti-codon, which is responsible for specific mRNA codon recognition, and the 3' end, to which the tRNAs corresponding amino acid is attached (by aminoacyl-tRNA synthetases). tRNAs cope with the degeneracy of the genetic code in two manners: having more than one tRNA (with a specific anti-codon) for a particular amino acid; and 'wobble' base-pairing, i.e. permitting non-standard base-pairing at the 3rd anti-codon position.
Source: Rfam by way of RNAcentral
UGGGAUGUAGCUCAGUGGUAGAGCACUUGUCUUAACAUGUGAGGCCCUAGGUUCAAUCUCUAGCAUCACAA